Molecule: long non-coding RNA, 168 nt
Organism: Dendronephthya gigantea
Lineage: Eukaryota; Metazoa; Cnidaria; Anthozoa; Malacalcyonacea; Nephtheidae
Exons: 3
Source: RefSeq, a predicted model, not a curated record
AAAAACGAGUUGAGGAUAAAGUUAGAAGCAUUUAAAAAUAGUCAAGUCAUGCAAUAUCGCGAAAAUACAACUGCACCUACCGAAAGUGAAGAGGAGCUUGACUUCAGUUUUACAGAGAAACUUACACCGAACACAAAGGCUAGAUAUAACAACCUGACUCCAAGAAAA